CAGUAGCCGCGGUAAUACGAGGGGGGCAAGCGUUGUUCGGAUUUAUUGGGCGUAAAGGGUGCGUAGGCGGUUUGGCAAGUCUUGUGUGAAAUCUUCGGGCUCAACCCGAAGCCUGCACGAGAAACUACCGGGCUUGAGUAUUGGAGAGGUGAGUGGAAUUUCCGGUGUAGCGGUGAAAUGCGUAGAUAUCGGAAGGAACACCUGUGGCGAAAGCGGCUCACUGGACAAUAACUGACGCUGAUGCACGAAAGCUAGGGGAGCAGACAGGAUUAGAUACCCGAGUAGUCCCUGUCUCUUAUAC
This 301-nucleotide ribosomal RNA is filed under the name uncultured bacterium. RNAcentral's name for it is "partial 16S ribosomal RNA". It matches the Rfam family "Bacterial small subunit ribosomal RNA", at positions 509 to 807 of the family's 1533-position model. The record is from RNAcentral.